This 422-nucleotide unclassified non-coding RNA is filed under the name uncultured Pseudoalteromonas sp. Its description in RNAcentral is "partial 16S-23S ribosomal RNA intergenic spacer". The stretch from base 299 to 422 matches the Rfam family "Bacterial large subunit ribosomal RNA", at positions 1 to 123 of the family's 2925-position model. Lineage: Bacteria; Pseudomonadati; Pseudomonadota; Gammaproteobacteria; Alteromonadales; Pseudoalteromonadaceae. The record is from RNAcentral.
CCUCCUUAUACGAUUUAGAACUUAUUUGUUCGUAGUGUCCACACAGAUGAUUGUUAGUUAGUUUUACCCUUUGGGUUUAACUGAUUAAUAUGCUCUUUAAAAAUUUGGAAAAGCUGAUAAUAAAAUUCUGAUAAAUACUUCGUAUUUAUCAAGAGUUUUCAAAAGUAAAAAAAGAAUGAUAGCAGUAUCAUUCAGUGCCAAUUUAAUCAUUCAUGAUUAAUUGGUAUCUACUUUAGUAUUCAAUAUUAACUUCUGGCGAAGUUAAACUGUCACUAACAAAGACCCGUUUGGGUUGUAUGGUUAAGUGACUAAGCGUACACGGUGGAUGCCUUGGCAGUUGGAGGCGAUGAAGGACGUAUUAACUCGCGAUAAGCCUAGUCAAGCUAGUAAAAAGCGCUUGAGACUAGGAUUUCCGAAUGGGA